CGUGAUAGAGAUCUGUGUUGAAAGCUAUCGAACUAUCUAGUCUAAGGAGUGGAUUUGCAUUUCCUUAUAUAUCCAAGUGUUCACCUGGUGUUCAGUGAACACCAGGUGAACACCCCCAUGUCCGUGUGUGUGGCAUCGUUCACUGGGUGCUCAUCACUCCGGUCUCGAGUGAACCCUCAGUGACACGGGUCCGCGUUCAUUGGCCAUGGGUGCCUGCUCACUCAUAGUUCACUCGAGGCCGAGUGAACCCAAAGUGACUCAUCCUUCGAUGUCUACUUGUCCGGCCCGUGGUUCAUCCGUGGGUACGUGAUGGCGGUCGUUUCUGCGACCGUGGUUCUGGCCGUAUAUAUAACACGAUGUCCCCCCUCCCUUUUGAUCUUGUCCCCAAGAUCCUGGCACAUAUACAAAUACUGUACUGUGUCCUCGCGUCCUGAAAUCGGCGUUCUCCACGAAUAAAACCGAGUCAUCACCAUCACCUCUGCUUUUAUUCGUGAGCAGUGGAUCGAGCUAGCUCCCCUUGCACUCGUUGUUUUGACAAGGACACUUCCGGUUGGGUAGUCGAGGGGGGAUUAACCGCUGCUCGGUGGUUUGUUACUCCGCGGGGCGCGUUCAUGCGAUAUAGAUAGCUCUCGCGCUCCGAUGUCGUCUUGUGUGUUGAAUCGUAUAACCGAGGAGCUUCGUCGCUUGGAACGUGAGGAAGAGCUGGCUGAGGAGCUCAUCCUGGAACGUCGUCACAUCAACAAGACGAGCAGCUUCGCUGUGUUGAUGAAGCCGUUAAUGAAGAGAAAGCUCCGGGAGGUUGGUGUACGUGUACAGCCCGUGUUGGCCCAGUAGUAGUACGUGUGGGUCUGAUCAAGUCGAUGUGUGUGUUGCUGAGAGUCCGCCGAGAGUCGGUCCUCGUUCUUGCUGUCGCUGCUGUAGCCCGUAACGAUUAUUUACUUGAGAACGGUUUAUCCCGUGUGUCCGGUUCA
This 971-nucleotide long non-coding RNA is filed under the name Nilaparvata lugens (brown planthopper). RNAcentral describes it as "uncharacterized LOC120356345, transcript variant X1". The record is from RNAcentral. Lineage: Eukaryota; Metazoa; Arthropoda; Insecta; Hemiptera; Delphacidae.